GCUGGUGUGGCUCAGUGGAUAGAGCGUCAGCCUGCGGACUGAAGGGUCCUGGGUUCGAUUCCAGCCAAGGGCA
RNAcentral lists this transfer RNA (73 nucleotides) under Myotis brandtii (Brandt's bat). It matches the Rfam family "tRNA". From Rfam's summary of the family: Transfer RNA (tRNA) molecules are approximately 80 nucleotides in length. Their secondary structure includes four short double-helical elements and three loops (D, anti-codon, and T loops). The record is from Rfam by way of RNAcentral. Lineage: Eukaryota; Metazoa; Chordata; Mammalia; Chiroptera; Vespertilionidae.